GAUGAACGCUGGCGGCGUGCCUAAUACAUGCAAGUCGAGCGAACGGACGAGAAGCUUGCUUCUCUGACGUUAGCGGCGGACGGGUGAGUAACACGUGGAUAACCUACCUAUAAGACUGGGAUAACUUCGGGAAACCGGAGCUAAUACCGGAUAAUAUUUUGAACCGCAUGGUUCAAUAGUGAAAGACGGUCUUGCUGUCACUUAUAGAUGGAUCCGCGCUGCAUUAGCUAGUUGGUAAGGUAACGGCUUACCAAGGCAACGAUGCAUAGCCGACCUGAGAGGGUGAUCGGCCACACUGGAACUGAGACACGGUCCAGACUCCUACGGGAGGCAGCAGUAGGGAAUCUUCCGCAAUGGGCGAAAGCCUGACGGAGCAACGCCGCGUGAGUGAUGAAGGUCUUCGGAUCGUAAAACUCUGUUAUUAGGGAAGAACAUAUGUGUAAGUAACUAUGCACAUCUUGACGGUACCUAAUCAGAAAGCCACGGCUAACUACGUG
Molecule: ribosomal RNA, 497 nt
Filed under: uncultured bacterium
Lineage: Bacteria
Description: partial 16S ribosomal RNA
Rfam family: Bacterial small subunit ribosomal RNA
Source: RNAcentral